CUAUGACUUAAUUGUCAUGGCGGAAGGAG
RNAcentral lists this non-coding RNA (29 nucleotides) under unclassified sequences. The record is from RNAcentral.